AUAAUAAAUAAAAACCUCGAGGCUUUAAAAAAAAAAAAAAAAAACCAAACCCCCAAAAAAACCCGCCAGGAAUAAAAGGAGGAAGGGAAAAAAAUGAUUUAAAAAUUAAUGAGUGAGCCCCAGGAAUUAAUUAAGAAUUAAUUAAAACUUAAUUAAGCCGAGGAGGAAAAUUGGGGACGUCACCCAUGGGACCCCCAUUUUGGGGACCAUCCCCAUUUUGGGGACCUUCUCCUUUUUGGGGACCCCCUUCAUUUUGGGGACCUUCUCCAUUUUGGGGACCUUCUCCACCUUGGGGACCCCCAUUUUGGGGACCCCCCAUUUUAGGGGAGCACCCCCACCUUGGGGACCCCCCCCAUUUUAGGGACUUUCAAUGGGACCCCCCCAUUUUGGGGAAACCCCAGUUUUGGGGACCGUCCCCACCUUGGUGACCUUCUCCAUUUUGAGGACCUUCUCCACCUUGGGGACCCCCCAUUUUUGGGACCCUCCCCAUUUUGGGGACCCCUCAUUUUGGGGAC
Molecule: long non-coding RNA, 515 nt
Filed under: Zonotrichia albicollis (white-throated sparrow)
Lineage: Eukaryota; Metazoa; Chordata; Aves; Passeriformes; Passerellidae
Description: lncRNA (ENSZALG00000007640.1)
Source: RNAcentral